GAUAGAACGCAGCGAAAUGCGAUAAGUAAUGUGAAUUGCAGAAUUCAGUGAAUCAUCGAAUCUUUGAACGCACAUUGCGCCCCUUGGUAUUCCGAGGGGCAUGCCUGUUCGAGCGUCAUUAUCACCCCUCAAGCUUUGCUUGGUGUUGGGGCCUGCUGUAAUAGGCAGCCCUUAAAAUCAGUGGCGGUGCUUCAAGGCUCUAAGCGUAGUAAUUCUCCUCGCUAUAGUGUCUAGUGGUUGCCAGCCAGAACCCCCCAAUUUUCAUGAUUGACCUCGGAUCAGGUAGGGAUACCCGCUGAACUUAAGCAUAUCAAUAAGCGGAGGA
RNAcentral lists this unclassified non-coding RNA (325 nucleotides) under soil metagenome. RNAcentral's name for it is "partial contains 5.8S ribosomal RNA, internal transcribed spacer 2, and large subunit ribosomal RNA". The stretch from base 4 to 118 matches the Rfam family "5.8S ribosomal RNA", at positions 40 to 154 of the family's 154-position model. The record is from RNAcentral.